Long non-coding RNA from Frieseomelitta varia, 2479 nucleotides. RefSeq lists it as uncharacterized. NCBI's taxonomy places the organism in Eukaryota, Metazoa, Arthropoda, Insecta, Hymenoptera, Apidae. The record is from RefSeq and is a predicted model, not a curated record. The transcript is spliced from 4 exons.
CGGAAAAAGAUAAUAUAUAUAUUGACGAUACAACGUGUCGUAAAACGUAUCAAUGGAGAGAAUGAAUGAAGAACAUUCCACGAAAAUGACUAUUCAAGGGCGUGGUUUACCGGACAGUGUGACGUUCUCGCGAACGCGGCGCGUGACCUGUUCGUUAAAGCGCGCGAAUACAAUCGACGACGAUCGCAAGUUCGAUGAACUAAUCGAUCAAACAAAAGGAUCACGCGGUAAACGCUGGACCCGAUCAUUUCCUGCUCGAGUGUCCAACGCUUGCACCGCGAUCGAACCGGUCGAAUGAAGACCUGCGAGUUCGAGAUGAGAAAAAAAAUAUAUUACUGACCUCGGUCGCUAACUUUCCUUUCGACGCCAUCUUGACAACAAUGUGUGUCGGUCGACGUUCCGACUACCUGCUGCACGCCGCUACACUUGGACGAUGACCGAACGAAUCCUGCGGCUGUGCACGACACUGAUCUUGAUUCAAUCUUGAUAGCGAGUCACGGCUCGCGCCUCGUCUCGAACACGUCUCUUCACUUCCGUCUUCACCGGAACAAAUCGCGAGCGCCCACGAGUUUCGUAACGACGUUUCACGCGGCCGUACCAAAAUACUGAACUGACGUCACAGGCACGAAGCUUCUUUUCGUACUACACGUACUACAUACUACGAGGAGCACGAGUUUACAAGCGGCACGAAGGCACCCCGGCUGAUCAGAGUCGUAGCGUGCCCCUCCACUUUCAACAACGGCCGAUACGAGCACCUCCUUUCACUCGCUCUCGCUCUAUAAUUAUAAUACGGCGACUCUUUCCCUUCCUUACCACGCUGUAUUUAUCGUACUCUCUCGUUCCACCACGUUCACGCGAGCAACGACAAUCUCGUCCUCUCUUUCGUUCUGGACGAUCUCUCCUCGUCUCUCUCUCCUCGCAACACACGCGACAUACCGUACACGAUGAUCGGACGAAACCGGUCGAAUGUUUACGAAACACUCAAUUUUCGUGUUUCACUAAUACCGGAGCUCAAUUGAAACUCACUUCACAGCAUUGUGUUUGUCUUUUUUUACAUCUGCAAUCAAUGUUUUCACGAACGACUGUAAAUCAUGUACAAUACAUAAUUCGUACAACCGUAUAAUGAAAUUUUAUCGUAUACCGUUCUCUCUCUCUUGAAUUGAAUCGUUAACGCUCAUCGAAAGAGAAAAGAGCAAUUAACAAUUUCAUCUUUCCAAACAGUAUUCACAGUUCUACGCUCCGGUGGUAUGACGUAACGGAUGAAUUCAUACACAAGAAGUUGAGGUUAGGUAUCAGCUGGAGAGAAUCGUUGCGUCCCGCUCUCUUUCUUUCUCUCGGCGAGCAAUCCACCAGGGCGAAGGGAGAAUUCGUUUUAAUUCAGAGCGAAUUAACCUUCCUGCACGCUUUUGCCCUCGCUGAUCCCGGUUGGUUAAGCGCGGUCGAACGUCACGCGUCGUUUGCGAAUUUGAACUGGCACGAAAGCGCGCCAUUCCACGGCGCAAUCACCUGUGUUCACGCACUACGAUUAUCGAAUGAUUCUAUCGAUUGGUGUAACGGAUACUCGAUCGUUAUGAGAGAGUAUUGCAAAGUGGAAUGUCGUCUUGAGGGGUUAACAACAAGGAGUGUUUAAGGAAAGAGAUUCAUGGAGAAGUGGAAUCGAAUUAGAUACUUCACAAUAUUAAAGUGUUUUCUAUGAUUCAGCAAUGAUUGAACAUUCGUUUUGUACUCACGUAGGUGAAUGUCACAAAUGGAAUAUCGCAUCAGUGUUAUACAAUGCUUCAAGUGAAAUGUACUCAUGCGAGUUUUGGCUGAAUUUCAAAAUACAGAAGAGCAUAACUAAACAUAUAACGAUGAAAAAUUGUCGAUACUUUUAAACUGUUUUAAACCCAAAGAUAUUUUUAAAUUACGUAGCAGGUGGUGCAAAAUUGGCUCCACGAGAAGCAAUUUAUAUUUACCAGAAUAGCGGUGAUAAAGGUCAUAAAAUUUUUUUUGAAAAACGAUAAAAUAAUAUUAAUAUGAAAAAUCCAUAUGUACGUUCAGUUUUGUUCAUCGCUGUACAAACGUUUGAAUACUUCCGUGAAUCAUUUAUUUGCUGAACUUGGUGAUCGCAUUAUCUCGCUCGCGCCUUUUAUGAGAUUACACGUGCAUACAGAGUACGCGGUUUAAAAGCAUCUGUGUGCGAUGUUGCGCGCGACCUGUUUAUUUUCGGGCCGAUUCUCAUAUGCGGGGCACGCCCAGCUGAAUCAUUAUUGACAGACCUUCGCUGGAAUCGGUAUUGCACACGCGUGUCAUAUAACAGAAGACACAGGAGAAGAGAUGAGAAAAGAGAUAAGAUCCGAUCUAAAUAGUUUGUUUAGUUAGUUUAUCUAACUUCCGGAAAUGGGAUCGAAGGUAAAAUCAAUUCUUAAGUACAUCGUAAAAGUGCAAUUAACUUAAGAUCCUCGUUAAAAGCUCCUUCGUUUGGUAAGUAACUCUCCUU